Molecule: long non-coding RNA, 1292 nt
Organism: Juglans microcarpa x Juglans regia
Lineage: Eukaryota; Viridiplantae; Streptophyta; Magnoliopsida; Fagales; Juglandaceae
Exons: 3
Source: RefSeq, a predicted model, not a curated record
CAUACUUGACUUGAAUUACUACAUAAACAUAUCAUGGCUUUCAUAUGAUUUUAGUAACAUUCAAUCAAUCAAACAAAUUCAUUCAUUCAAGCAUAAUCUCAUAUUUCAUCAAGAUCAUGAAAGGAAUUUAACCUUGACUUGUCUCUUAGUGUAGCAUAGAUAACUAUCAUAAGCACAUCAUAUUUUCAUACAUAACAAUAAUAUUCACAUUACGUAUGCAUUUAUAUGAUCAUACUAUUUACCUCUUAGCGUUGCUUCCUGACUUCCAAGUGGUAGCGCGUUACCUAUACGAGGUACACGACGUUACUAAUCUUCUAGGAAAAAGUGUCCUAACAUCCUUCCCACUUGAGCACAUAUCAUAAACUUUAAAUCUAAUAAAAUAUCUAGCUAUAUACUGAACUCAUUGAUUAAUCUCACUAUUUUAUGGCUACUAAAACAAUAAUAUCAUAUCUAGUUCUUUAAAUAUAAAAUAGUAGGAAAUAUCUACAUAUUAUGUAUUUUAUAAAAUAGCAAUGUAAUGAUUUCGCAACCCAGGUUUAAUAAUACUGUAGGCCCACAUUAGAAAACAGUCUAUUUAAAUAAUAUACUAGUUUCUGUAAAAUUGGGUCCAGCUUAUAACAUGGCCCGUGUAGAUAAUAGGCCUUCUUAGAGUUUUACAAGGCUCCUGGCCAAAAGGCUUAAGGCCUAGGGCCCACUCUAACAUCAGUAAUGUAAAAGCCUUAAGGGCUGAGAAAGAAAGGCUCCUGAGAGGAGCAUCGUGCAAUGGAAGGGGCAACUCACUGAGAGGAGAAAGCUGUUGCGUUGCAGCUCAAGGUGGCUAGAAGUGACUGGCGGCGCAACUGAGGGAGUCCUUAUGGGAGUGGGUGCGACGGGGCUAGGUUGACCGGCAGUUUCUGGCGUCGUGGGUGGUGCUCCGACGUCCUAAGGUGGUCAGCGGUGGCUGGGCAGAGACUAAGGCUUAUGCGAAAAGUGUGUUCUUCCCUUAGGUAUUUUUUUGUGUGUGUUUAAAACAGAGGGUUUACGUGGGAUUUUAUAGACGAUGAAGAGGGGAGUGGCGUGAGUCCUCAAUAGGUAUGCUAGGGUUUGAAGUUGGCUUCACUUGGAAAAUUAUUCUUAUGAGGAUAUGGAUUCUGAGAGGAUUUUGAAGAGUCAAGUUGUAGUUUCAAACUAGGAAACUAAUCUAAUAUGGAAAGUAAUGGAUAACCAUACAAGGUUUUGAUAGGGAAAAAAAUCACUAAUUUAAUCUAUCUGUUAGCAUAUUUCCUAAGAUGAUAAUAAAAGUAAAAUAAAUA